UACGGGGGGGGCAAGCGUUGUUCGGAUUUACUGGGCGUAAAGGGCGCGUAGGCGGCCUCUGCAAGUCGACUGUGAAAUCUCCGGGCUUAACCCGGAACGGUCAGCCGAUACUGCAGGGCUAGAGUGCAGAAGGGGCAACUGGAAUUCUCGGUGUAGCGGUGAAAUGCGUAGAUAUCGAGAGGAACACCUGCGGCGAAGGCGGGUUGCUGGGCUGACACUGACGCUGAAGUGCGAAAGCUAGGGGAGCGAACGGG
This 254-nucleotide ribosomal RNA is filed under the name uncultured bacterium. RNAcentral describes it as "partial 16S ribosomal RNA". It matches the Rfam family "Bacterial small subunit ribosomal RNA", at positions 524 to 776 of the family's 1533-position model. The record is from RNAcentral.